This 163-nucleotide non-coding RNA is filed under the name Craspedostauros australis. Lineage: Eukaryota; Bacillariophyta; Bacillariophyceae; Mastogloiales; Achnanthaceae. The record is from RNAcentral.
AGACGAUCGAUUCCAUCCGCCGCCAGUCCCCCACCAAGGUCAAGGUCAAGGCCGCACCUCGAUCCGUGAGCAGAACACCGAUGUCGCCAACGAAGACGAAUGUGAGCAAGGCGAUGAGCGUCGUCCCGCACACAUUCACGACGAGCCUAGCGACCUACGUGGU